Molecule: unclassified non-coding RNA, 486 nt
Filed under: Hevea brasiliensis (rubber tree)
Lineage: Eukaryota; Viridiplantae; Streptophyta; Magnoliopsida; Malpighiales; Euphorbiaceae
Source: RNAcentral
GAAAAUGUCUUGAGAAUCAUAAAACACCUCUCCUAUAGUAGAUUCCAAACACACUUUCAGGAGAUGAUGUUCUGUGGGAGUCCCAGAAAACCAUGACGACAUGCAUUUAGCAGCUUGUGCUACACUAUCAAAUUCCCAUCUUUUCAUGAACUUUGUUUCUAUGGCAAGUGAUGUAUCUGUCUGAAGCUCAUUGAAGUAAUUUAUACCACGCACAUCACUCCACGCAACUUCAAACACAAUGAACCCAUAUAAGGUCCUAUGUAAUUUGCUAUUCAAGAUCAAAGAGUUCCUCAAUUUCUUUACAGGUAAUAAUUCCCUCCUCUUUGACAAUGUUACAGCAUCAAGAAACGGAAACCAUCUUCUGACGUUUUCUGAUUCACUCGUGCUUAAUUCUGGAUUAGAUUUUAUAUCCAUUAUAUCUCCAUUCUCUUUCCUCUGCUUCCUCCCUCUGGUAUUUGCAAAGGGAGAUAACCUGGACUUGGUAAC